GGAUUGUGGCUCAAUGGUAGAGCGCUUGCCUAGUGUGUGUGAGGCACUGGGUUCAAUUUUCAGCACCA
RNAcentral lists this transfer RNA (68 nucleotides) under Marmota monax (woodchuck). RNAcentral describes it as "tRNA.Thr". The record is from RNAcentral. Lineage: Eukaryota; Metazoa; Chordata; Mammalia; Rodentia; Sciuridae.